This 1296-nucleotide long non-coding RNA is filed under the name Oryctolagus cuniculus (rabbit). RNAcentral's name for it is "lncRNA (ENSOCUG00000035646.1)". The record is from RNAcentral. Lineage: Eukaryota; Metazoa; Chordata; Mammalia; Lagomorpha; Leporidae.
AUGAUGUUUUAUUCACGUGUGAGUCUCGGGGCGGUGGGCAGCACAGACAGCACUCAAGAAACAUCUGCUGACUGGAGACAAGUUUGUUUCACAACCACCCCGGGAAGGGGAGAAUGGGGGCUGGGGGCAGGGGCUGGGGGCAGGGGCCGGGGGGCCUAUCCUCCAGAGGGAGAAUCCAAGGUUGAGAAAGAGAAAGUGACUUCUCUGAGGACAGACACAGGUGCAGACAGACUAACGUCACAAUCAGAGGAUCCCCUGGGAAGCAGCAGUGCGGGACGGCAGGGGAAGUGGGUGGCUGCCCUGGACCCCAGCCCAGCAUUAGUUUUAGAACCCAGGGUAUCACAGCUUCAGCUCUGCCUCCUUGCUGGCGAGCAGCUCCACCGUCUCCGUCCGUCCUCCUCAGGGUCCUCCCUCCCUCCCUUUCUCAGGCCAGCUCCCAAGCCGUUGAAGGGAAUCUGGCAACCCUUCAGGCUGGGUGAGGUGGCCAACAGGACUUCUGCAGCCCCAGGAGGGAGGAGGGGGAGUCGUGGGGGGAUUCUUGAAGAGUUCAGCAGGGGUGGACACUGGGUAAGAUGCUCACAUCCCGUGUCAGAGUGCCUGGGUUUAGCUCCCAACUCCAGCUUCCUGCUAAUGCAGACAGGGGAGGCAGCAGUCGUGACUCACACACACAGCCGGAUGCCUGUCACCCAUGCUGGAGACCUGGAUGGAGUCCUAGCUCCUGGCUUUGACCUUGGCCCAGCCUGGCCAUGGUGGGAGUUUAGGGAUGGGCCAGUAGAUGGGAACACGUAUACACACACUCUCUCUCUCUCUUUCUCUCUCUGCCUGUCAAAUAAUUUUUUUAAUUCAGUUCGGUGUCAGCCAGGGCUGAGCAGAAAGCUCUCUCUGGGUAAAGCCCAGACACAUACACUGAAGCAAGGCUCAGAACAGGAACACACUGUCCCACUGCAACCCUGCAAACUUUCACUUCUGUUGUUUCAUCUACUCCUCAAAGAGCCCGGGGCAGGGGGGCGCAGUGCUGUGGCACAGUGGGUUAAAGCUCUAGACUUUAGCGCCAGCAUCCCAUAUGGGCACAGGUUCAAGUCCUGGCUGCUCCACUUCCGAUCCAGCUCCCCAAGAAAGCAGCGGAGCAUGGCCCAAGUGCUUGUGAGCUCAGGGACCCAAGCUCCUGGCUUCUGGCUUCAGAUCGGCACAGUUCCAUCCCUGGUCAUUGCGGCCAUUUGGGGAGUGAACCAGCGGGUGGAAGACCUCUCUCUCUCUCCCUCUGCCUCUACCUCUCUCUGUAACUCUUUCAAAUAA